AGGUGUAGCGCAGAUGGUAGCGCGCCUGCUUUGGGAGCAGGAUGCCGCAGGUUCGAAUCCUGUCACCU
This 68-nucleotide transfer RNA is filed under the name Candidatus Heritagella gallinarum. It matches the Rfam family "tRNA". From Rfam's summary of the family: Transfer RNA (tRNA) molecules are approximately 80 nucleotides in length. Lineage: Bacteria; Bacillati; Bacillota; Clostridia. The record is from RNAcentral. RNAcentral also lists the same sequence under 3 other names.